GGGAUUGCCCUAGUAACGGCGAGUGAAGCGGCAACAGCUCAAAUUUGAAAUCUGGCCCCCUAGGGGGUCCGAGUUGUAAUUUGCAGAGGGUGCUUUGGCGUUGGCAGCGGUCUAAGUUCCUUGGAACAGGACGUCACAGAGGGUGAGAAUCCCGUACGUGGUCGCCAGCCUCCGCCGUGUAAAGCCCCUUCGACGAGUCGAGUUGUUUGGGAAUGCAGCUCUAAAUGGGAGGUAAAUUUCUUCUAAAGCUAAAUACUGGCCAGAGACCGAUAGCGCACAAGUAGAGUGAUCGAAAGAUGAAAAGCACUUUGGAAAGAGAGUCAAAAAGCACGUGAAAUUGUUGAAAGGGAAGCGCUUGCAGCCAGACUUGCCUGUAGUUGCUCAGCCGGGCUCCGGCCCGGUGCACUCUUCUGCGGGCAGGCCAGCAUCAGUUCGGGCGGCCGGAUAAAGACCUCUGUCACGUACCUCCCUCCGGGGAGGACUUAUAGGGGAGGUGAAAUGCGGCCAGUCCGGACUGAGGUCCGCGCAUCUGCUAGGAUGCUGGCGUAAUGGCUGUAAGCGGCCCGUCUUGAAACACGGACCAAGGAGUCUAACAUCUAUGCGAGUGUUUGGGUGUCAAGCCCGAGCGCGUAAUGAAAGUGAACGGAGGUGGGAACCCCUCGGGGUGCACCAUCGACCGAUCCUGAUGUCUUCGGAUGGAUUUGAGUAAGAGCAUAGCUGUUGGGACCCGAAAGAUGGUGAACUAUGCUUGAAUAGGGUGAAGCCAGAGGAAACUCUGGUGGAGGCUCGCAGCGGUUCUGACGUGCAAAUCGAUCGUCAAAUUUGGGCAUAGGGGCGAAAGACUAAUCGAA
RNAcentral lists this ribosomal RNA (851 nucleotides) under Corynespora cassiicola. RNAcentral describes it as "partial large subunit ribosomal RNA". It matches the Rfam family "Eukaryotic large subunit ribosomal RNA", at positions 71 to 939 of the family's 3401-position model. The record is from RNAcentral. Lineage: Eukaryota; Fungi; Ascomycota; Dothideomycetes; Pleosporales; Corynesporascaceae.